AACGAACGCUGGCGGCAUGCCUAACACAUGCAAGUCGAACGAAGUCUUCGGACUUAGUGGCGCACGGGUGCGUAACGCGUGGGAAUCUGCCCUUGGGUGCGGAAUAACUUCUCGAAAGGGAUGCUAAUACCGCAUAAUGUCGUAAGACCAAAGAUUUAUCGCCCAAGGAUGAGCCCGCGUAAGAUUAGCUAGUUGGUGGGUAAAAGCCUACCAAGGCGACGAUCUUUAGCUGGUCUGAGAGGAUGAUCAGCCACACUGGGACUGAGACACGGCCCAGACUCCUACGGGAGGCAGCAGUAGGGAAUAUUGGACAAUGGGCGAAAGCCUGAUCCAGCAAUGCCGCGUGAGUGAUGAAGGCCCUAGGGUUGUAAAGCUCUUUUACCAGGGAUGAUAAUGACAGUACCUGGAGAAUAAGCUCCGGCUAACUCCGUGCCAGCAGCCGCGGUAAU
Molecule: ribosomal RNA, 449 nt
Filed under: uncultured bacterium
Lineage: Bacteria
Description: bacterial SSU rRNA
Rfam family: Bacterial small subunit ribosomal RNA
Source: RNAcentral